This 310-nucleotide long non-coding RNA is filed under the name Brassica napus (rape). RNAcentral describes it as "long non-coding RNA (BNAP_LNC008521)". Lineage: Eukaryota; Viridiplantae; Streptophyta; Magnoliopsida; Brassicales; Brassicaceae. The record is from RNAcentral.
CUCGAUCUUUUUGGGAUUUAAAGUGGUCUCGUUCGGAAACAGGAUUCUCCGUCGAUCGAUGUUGGGAUGGUGUGGUCAAUCGAUUCUGAGGUGCUACCCUCGAUCGAUGCUAAGUGAAGAUAACCCAUAUCAGCUUCUUCUGCUCUGUUUGGCUCUCCAGAUCCAUGAUAUUCAUCUCUCUUCGCCAUGGUGGGAUCGUCAAUAUGAUAUAUAUCUCAGCAUAGAUUCCAUCUCUAUUUCUAGAUUUGCUGCAACAUCAUAGAUAAAUUUGUUGAGGAAGGCGUUUGCGAUGUCAUUCCAGGCAGUAAGG